CCUACGGUGGCUGCAGUGGGGAAUAUUGCACAAUGGGCGCAAGCCUGAUGCAGCCAUGCCGCGUGUGUGAAGAAGGCCUUCGGGUUGUAAAGCACUUUCAGCGGGGAGGAAGGCGGUGAGGUUAAUAACCUCAUCGAUUGACGUUACCCGCAGAAGAAGCACCGGCUAACUCCGUGCCAGCAGCCGCGGUAAUACGGAGGGUGCAAGCGUUAAUCGGAAUUACUGGGCGUAAAGCGCACGCAGGCGGUCUGUCAAGUCGGAUGUGAAAUCCCCGGGCUCAACCUGGGAACUGCAUUCGAAACUGGCAGGCUAGAGGCUUGUAGAGGGGGGUAGAAUUCCAGGUGUAGCGGUGAAAUGCGUAGAGAUCUGGAGGAAUACCGGUGGCGAAGGCGGCCCCCUGGACAAAGACUGACGCUCAGGUGCGAAAGCGUGGGGAGCAAACAGGAUUAGAUACCCCGGUAGUC
Molecule: ribosomal RNA, 464 nt
Filed under: uncultured Klebsiella sp.
Lineage: Bacteria; Pseudomonadati; Pseudomonadota; Gammaproteobacteria; Enterobacterales; Enterobacteriaceae
Description: bacterial SSU rRNA
Rfam family: Bacterial small subunit ribosomal RNA
Source: RNAcentral